This 559-nucleotide unclassified non-coding RNA is filed under the name Hevea brasiliensis (rubber tree). Lineage: Eukaryota; Viridiplantae; Streptophyta; Magnoliopsida; Malpighiales; Euphorbiaceae. The record is from RNAcentral.
CUAUUUUGACUUUAUAUUAGCUUGCGACAUAUAGUUUCAGUUUUGUUCUUACAAGGAGUUUGCUCCAAUAGUUGUGAUUAAAGGAGAAGAGUACGCUGAGAGUUUAAUAGUCGGUAGAGUGAGUGUACCCCCUCCAACUAUACGAGAAUGAGUGUCCAUAGGGCUCUGCUCCUCUCUCUAUUUUCUGCUCCUUUCAAGCUCUAAAUCUAGGGGCUUUAGCACUGUUUGACAGGUUGGAUGGUCUCUCGAAGGCGUUUUCCAUAUGCUUUGGCUGAUGAACUUGAUCCAAUCGCACUAAGGAUAGGGAGAUAUGUCCGGCUUCCUCAGAAACUUCCGUCUCUGGAUCUUGACAGCGAUGCUACCAUGGCCGGUGCUUUUCUUUUGUCGAUGGGCAUUGUAGCUUGCUCUUGCCUUUUCACAUGGGGUUACCAUUUUGGGGACUCCCUUUAGGCGAAAACAUCGUGUGUGGUCCUUAUGAAAGCUUCAGACUAUUAUAAUGGUUAGAUAAAUCAGUUUUUUUGAGUCUUGGACCCCUUUAUAAUGGUUAUAAAAAUUUUUU